CUUCACCGACCCCAGCCACAACGGCCGCUCGGCAUCCCGCCCCUGCCCAUACGUCGCCAGCAACGCCUCCGCCUC
Molecule: non-coding RNA, 75 nt
Organism: Streptomyces pactum
Lineage: Bacteria; Bacillati; Actinomycetota; Actinomycetes; Kitasatosporales; Streptomycetaceae
Source: Rfam